UCCAUUUUUAAGCAACUUUUCUGGAGGGGGGGGGAGGGGGAAUGAGCUAGUUGGCGCCCGUCCGUUCUAUUUUCUUUUCUCCACUUUUAGAAGAAAACGGACGGGGAGGGGUAGGCUUGGAGAAAGCGAACUGGGGGUGUCUAAUUUAAUUCCAGUAUAAAUUUGAGGAAAAAAGUUCAGCCUCUUGAGGGCAGUUUCAAGUUGCCCUGCAGGAGCCUCUGCGCUGGUUUCGAGGCUGCCCUCUUUUGGAAGCUGGAGCUCCGCAGGGGGAGGAGGGAGGAGUGAGGAGUAAAGAAAGGAACGAAAAUAGCCGGAGCCAAGGGGAACAGCGGCGGUGUCCGCGCGAAGGUCUCAGUGGCGGCCGGGGCGGCGGGAGGUUCCCGGUGCGGCCCCGGAACGGCCAGGAGCAAAGACGGAGAGGAGAGGGGGGUUAGAGAAAGGAGGUAUUGUGUCUUGUGUGCCUUGGGGGAGGGGGUUGACUGCAGAAAUAAAUGCAGUUGAGCUGCGCGGGGCUGCUAGAAGCCAAGGCAGGGGGAAGGGGCUGUGCGCGGGGGCGCAGCCCGGGUAGGCGCCUAGCAUCCUUGAACCUUAUCCGAAAGCCUUUGUGGGUCCCUAAUAAGCCCUCCCACGCCUGAGCCCCCAUCGUUUCCCCACCCCCCUGGUUGCCCUCCAAUAUUCGGAGCCCAGACCUUGAUCCCCCACCCCAUUAUCCCCGCCCUUGAUCUGGAAUGUUUUGUUUUGUUUUAAUCUUCGUAUAGCUCAAGCAAAAUAUAUCUUGAGAAAGUUGAGGUGGGGAAUACAAAGGACUUGAGGGGCGGAAAAAAACAAAGCCGAUUUUUAUAAAUGUUUAAUGUUUUCACCCCUGGAUGCUCCAAGACGCCGUAAUUGUGAUGGCGGGGUAUGUGUGCCAUAAAUCAUUUAGUUGCUAAUAAAAAUUCUGCCUGUUUGCCCUGCAUUUGCCAAUGGCGUUUGCAUUUUCCAAGUAUGUGCCUUUCUCUGCGUGGCGAUCCGAGCCUGCAUUUCAUUAGGGUCGAGGUUCGGGGCAGGCGAGACGCGCCCCCCCCCCCCUCCGCCUGCCCCCUCCUCCUGGGCCUUUGUGGGCCCCAGCCCCCUCGCGCCGCCCUCCCGGCGCACACUCACACCCGCGGCCGCGCGGGUCGCCUCCGGAGCCCGGCCGGGAGCCGGGCCUGGGGACACGGAGGCAGCUGCUCCCGGGUCCUGGCCGCGGGGUGCGCAGGACGGCCUGCCAGCGCCGGCUCUCCGAGCGCGGCGUUCGUGGGGGCGCAGCGGGCCCCGCCGACGAGCCGCCCGCCCCGGCCGAUCGGUGCGCGCCCUAGUCUUUGCCGCCCCCUCGCCCCCGCCCGCCGGGCCCCGCGCCCCGGCGCCCCCGCAGUCGCUGGGUAAACAGCGGCCGGGAGCCAUCUUGGGGCGGGGGGUGGGGGGGUGGGGACGGAUCCCAGGCCGAGUGGUGGGCGCAGCCGGGCUCCUUCGCAGACCCCCGCCGCCAGUCGUCGGGCACCUCUGGGGAAUCCUUUGCCAAGCUUCGGGGUCUGCGGAAGCACCCUCUCCGCGCCGGCGGACCACACUGAGAUGUCAAAGCCCGGCCGGGCGCCCUGCGCGGGCCGGGUAGGAGGCGCCCGGUCCGCGGUCCGCCCGGGUCUGGCCGCCAUCUUCCGCCUCCCCCUUCUCCCCCCACCCCCCCGCCACAUACUUGUGUUUACCCGGCGGGAUCCUUGGCCAAAAAGUGUGUUGACGCAGUGUGUGUGUGUGUGUGUGUGUGUGUGUGUGUGUGUGUGUUUUGUACUGACUGGGCGGAAAAUCGGCUGGAGGGGGGGACCUCCUCGCAACUUGAACCUCAGUUCCCGGAGAGCCUGUCCAGGCCCGCGCUCUUGUCCACGGCCAGCCUGGGCCGCCGGAGCCGAGGCCUUUUGUGUGUUCUAGGCCUCCGGCUCCGUGCACGAGGCCCCACUGACAAAAUUAUUCCCCUUUGUUUUAAAACCAAAGGACAGGCCAACUUUGAGUCCGGUUCUCCUCGGCCGCGCCUUUGUCGCGGAGGCACAGCCCCGCGCCUUGGUCAACUCUGUUCUUUUCAGGGCUGAACCCGACUCUUUCUGGAACCCUGGUGUUGCUGGCCGCCUGAAUGCAUUCUCCCCUUACCCUUCCCGGGAAGAAAAUGGGCAUCCUUUCGUAGGCGAAGACAUAGGAGCCGCCACCACCCGUCUCCCCAAACCGCCUUCCCGGUGGGGACCUCGGUUCCCUCGCUGUGCCAGCUUCUUGGUGAAAGGGACCCCGAGCGUUCGCCGGCCUCUGCCACCGGCUCGGGAAGCCCUGGCCGGAUCUGGGGCUUAAAAGCGCCAGUUUUCCAGGUCCCGGGUCUGGCAACCAGGGAGCUCCCGGCCCGGGCACCGCGAAAACCCGGAGAGGCUGCGCCCGGGACAUGCAUUCUCGCCAUCCCUCUGGUGCUGCGACGGGCUCAGCCACGAUUCGGCGCCGAGCCGAGGUUCAGCCAGCCCAGCCAAGAGGGGUCCCGACCCUCCAGGAAGACCAAGGACGCGGCGCCCAAGCCCGAACGCGGCAGGGACGAGAGCGCUGGGUGGGCAGAGCCAGGGCUGAAGCACCAGGCUCGGCCCGGAGGAUCCCGGCGCGUCUCGGCUCCGCCUCCGGCCCUGGCCGCUUUCCCCGGCCCGGGUCGGGUCUUCCAUUCCGCUGUUUGUCUCGGAGAGGUCGGAGACGUGCUCGGUGCACAGGGGGCCGGAUACGGCCAUAAAUCUUCAUGCGGGACCUCCUUCCCGUCGCUCACACGCCGGUGCUCCUGGCCGCCCUGGCAUCCCGGGCUGCACUGGGCGCCCUGCUUUCCCCGCCAUGGCCUGGGGUUCCCUGGAGCGGCGCGGGGAGUCAAGGCCUGAGCGUCCCCAUUCGCCAAAGAGAGGGAACAGCCUCGCCCCGUUCUGUGCCACCGCCUUCCAUCCCCGCGGUUGCUGGACCCUGAGGCUGCCCGGGCCUCACUGGAUCUCCACCUGGGGUAGGGGUACCGGGGCCAGGCACUUACUCCUAGGAAGGUUCGUUGAGGCUGGAAUGGGCACACGGCCACCUGCUUGAGCCCAACUCCCGCACCGUUAAGGGGUGACGCCAGGGUUAGGAUCAGAGUGCCUUUUCAGAUCUCAGCCAGCUGCUCCUCUCCAAAGACCCUGCUUUAAUCCCACGCCAUCGUUCUGCCCUCAAGAGUCCUCUGCAGGCGCACGAUAUAGGGGAGAGGGGCGGGGAACAAGCCUUCUGGCGGGUACCUCGCAUCAGCCGAGCAGAGCAGGCCGCGCGCCAGAUCAGGGACAAUCACCUCCAAAUGGUCUUUGCUCUUGGCUCGGGACUUCGGUGGGGACAGCCGAGAAAGGGGGAGGCCUUCACCCCCUCGUAGGCACCUCCCCCUCACCAUGCCAGUGACACAACUGCAACGGCCCCGGGGCAGAUGCCGGAGGUGGAAGGUUUGGGAACCUCGGCCCGAAAUGAUCUUACUGUGGGAGCUUCGCUCCUUCCUAGAAUUUCUAGAAGCACAUUCGGAAGGAUCGCGAGGGCUUCGGCAGGGCCCAGAGGAAUGCGAGCGCUCGCCCCGCCGCCCGGGAGCGGAUGAGGCUGCCCAGCCGCAUUCCGGCCGUGCCUCCCCGCCUCGGCCCCGGCCCCCGCCGCGGCGCCCCAGGAAGCGUCUCCGAAAACAAAGCUCUGCGGUUUCAGCCCAAGGUUAAAGUCCACCACGAGCGUGUUUUUUCCCCCCCUCCGGAAUCUGAGAGCGAUAGCGUUUCUCCAAAUAAACCGCCAAUAAAUCA
Molecule: long non-coding RNA, 3818 nt
Organism: Neofelis nebulosa (Clouded leopard)
Lineage: Eukaryota; Metazoa; Chordata; Mammalia; Carnivora; Felidae
Exons: 2
Source: RefSeq, a predicted model, not a curated record